CCUACGGGAGGCAGCAGUGAGGAAUAUUGGUCAAUGGGCGCGAGCCUGAACCAGCCAAGUAGCGUGAAGGAUGACUGCCCUACGUGUUGUAAACUUCUUUUAUAAAGGAAUAAAGUCAGGCACGUGUGCCUGGUUGAGUGUACUUUAUGAAUAAGGAUCGGCUAACUCCGUGCCAGCAGCCGCGGUAAUACGGAGGAUCCGAGCGUUAUCCGGAUUUAUUGGGUUUAAAGGGAGCGUAGAUGGGUUGUUAAGUCAGUUGUGAAAGGUUGGGGCUCAACCGUAAAAUUGCAAUUGAUACUGGCAGUCUUGAGUACAGUUGAGGUAGGCGGAAUUCGUGGUGUAGCGGUGAAAUGCUGAGAUAUCACGAAGAACUCCGAUUGCGAAGGCAGCUUACUAAACUGCCACUGACAUUGAGGCUCGAAAGUGUGGGUAUCAAACAGGAUUAGAUACCCCGGUAGUC
Molecule: ribosomal RNA, 460 nt
Filed under: uncultured bacterium
Lineage: Bacteria
Description: partial 16S ribosomal RNA
Rfam family: Bacterial small subunit ribosomal RNA
Source: RNAcentral